RNAcentral lists this long non-coding RNA (480 nucleotides) under Zea mays. RNAcentral's name for it is "long non-coding RNA (ZMAY_LNC005269)". The record is from RNAcentral. Lineage: Eukaryota; Viridiplantae; Streptophyta; Magnoliopsida; Poales; Poaceae.
UAAUCAACAACCACAUGGAAUGGAAGCGUACCCUCUUCCUUGCCCCAGAGCAGCAGAACGCGGACUCCUUGUUUUUUAUCAUUCUGAUGUUCUAUUGCUCUUCGUCGACGCCGUCACAGCAGCCGACGCUACUGUUGUUCAUGCGGCCGUCUCCCGUCAGCUGCAGAUCUAGGCCACCGCCCCCAGCAGGUACUCUUCAAUCCUCAUCAUCUUGCUCCUCCUCACCGUCGCCACCGACACUGAGCGAUAGAAAAGGGGGUGCCAUCGAGGGAGGAGGAGGUCCGAGAAUGAGGAUGCAGAUGCGGAAGUUGGGGAUAUUUUGGAUCUCAAAACAUGAAUAGAGGAUGGGGAAACAGGCAAUGGAGGGGAAACGAGCACUCACCCUGGGAUGUGCAUGCGACGUGCGAUGGAGGGCUCGAUCCCUCGAGCGCCGACGACGGUAUGGCGAGAGGCUGUAGCGGACAGUCGCGAGGGAGGUGG